Long non-coding RNA from Loxodonta africana (African savanna elephant), 20979 nucleotides. RefSeq lists it as uncharacterized. The record is from RefSeq and is a predicted model, not a curated record. The transcript has 3 exons. Lineage: Eukaryota; Metazoa; Chordata; Mammalia; Proboscidea; Elephantidae.
ACGGAGGCAGCCAGACAGAGGGGGGAAGGGCAAGGGGGGGAAGGCGUUUCUGCUGACGCGUCGCUGCUAUCAAUAUCUAUUCAUCUUGAAAUUGAGCUGAGUGCAAUUUAAGAGAUUGCCACUGGGCGCUCAUUACCCUCGCUAAGCGCCUGCCGCGCCUUAGGGCUACAGGACUGUGCCAAGGGACCACGGGACCGCUGCGCCUUGGGUCCGCACGACCACACCAUGGGACCAAGACCACCGUACCUUGGGACUACGCGAUUGUCGGACUGCCCCGUCUUGGACUACGGGACUGCACCAUGGGACCACGGGACUGCUGUGCCUUGGGACUACCGGACUGCUGAACCUCAGCGCCUUGGGACCGCGGGACCACACCAUGGGACCUUGGGACCGCCGUGUCUUAGGACUACGGGCCCGCACCAUGGGACUACGGGAUACCGAGAUCGCCAGGUCUUGCGACCACAUCAUGGGGCUGCGGCGCCUUGCGACCACGGGAGUGCCGCAUAAUCAGAUCAUGGGGCCGGACCAAGGGACUGCUGCGCUGUGGGACCGCGGUGCGCAGUGACAAUCCCCGCGGUGCCCGCCAGAGCCUGGGGACCGCCCAAGGGUACCGACCUGGCUCAGGCAGGGCGGUCAAUUUGAAGCCAGGUGUCCGUGCCCGAAGCAUUCAUGCGUUCUUUUGCACCACUGCCGGCAAAAAAACAUUUGAAACAGAAGCUCAAAGCCACUGUUUGGGUUUUACACCACAGUCUACGGGUUCUCAUACUGGAUUUGCAUAAAAGAUAAAAGCGUUACCUCAAGAUCCGCCUCCACAUUCUUUAUAAACACGCUCCGCGACAACACCUGGGCAGGGACCCUGCUCCCUCGCUCAACCCGACUCGUGGGGUCUCCUUCUCCAGCCCCUGGCAGGGCACAGGGCUGAACCACUUCGCGAGGUGGCCAAGACGCCCCUCCGUUUCCGUGCAACCUUUCCUGCAAGCACGAGCCAGGGCCUCGAUUCCGAGAACGCUCCCUACGUGUCCACGCCCCGACAGGGGGGAGAGCUGUCUGCGCGCACCGACUGGCAGACGGACCGACGGACCGACGCAGGGGCGCGGUCUAGCGGCGACGCGCGUGAAAGCCACACGUUUUAUCCAGACCCGCGGCCGCCACACCGCGGCCGCCACCCAGACCAGCCCUUCUUUAGCGGAAAGAAACACAAUCUCGAGAGCGCACCACCCCCAGGAAGGCCAGGAUCCAUCUGACAUCAGCAAUGAUAUCCCUUGUUCCUUGUCUUCUUCUGAAUCCGGCUUGAAUUUCUGGCAGUGCCCUGUAGAUGUACUGCUGCAACCAUUUUUGAAUGAUCUUCAGCAAAAUUUUACUUGCAUGUGACACUAAUGAUAUUCUACAGGCAAAAAAGUUGAAUGAUACGGGAAGCAGCAAAAGAAGACAGAAGCAGUACACAAAGUCUCUCUUCCAAAAGGAACUGGUCAACGUUCAACCACUUCAGGAGGUAGCAUAUGAUUGAGAACCGAUAGUACUGAAGAAAGAAAUCCGAGCUGCACUGAAGGCACUGGUGAAAAACAAGGCUCCAGAAAUUGACAGAAUACCAAUUCAGAUGUUUCAACAAAUGGAUGCAGCACUGGAACUGCUCACCCAUCUAUUUAUGCCAAGAAAUUUGGAAAACAGCUACCUGGCCAUUCAAGUGGAAGAGAUCCAUAUCCGUGCCCAUUCCAAAGAAAGGUGAUCCAACAAAAUGUGGAAAUUAUCCAACAAUAUCCAUAAAGAUUACAGCCAAGGAAACCCAAUGAAGCAGUUCUACUCUGUGACAUAUGGGAUCGCUAUGAGUCGAAAUAUGUCAACGGCAACAGCCUCACCCUCUGGGAGUGCCCAGCCCCUGUGCUGUGGCCACGCACCAGGCACACUCACACUGAGGAAGCAACACACAGAGCGGCCACGUAAACCAAACAUCAAAACCAACCGACCAGUUGUCCAGUCGACUCCGACCCAUGGCGACCCCGUGAGUGGCAGAGCAGAACUGUGCUCCAUAGGGUUUUCACUGGCUGAUUUUUCAGAAGUAGAUCGUCAGGCCCUUCUUCCGAGGCACCUCAGGGUAUACUCGAACCUCCAACCUUUCCGUUAGCAGGUGAGCGUGUAACCAUCUGCACCACCCAGGGACUUCUUAGUAGUAGUACACUGGUGUGAGGGCAGGUGAGCACAGAGGGCCGCGGAGGGAGGAAGCCCAGAGUCACUGGGUGAAAUUGUACCCGAGCGUCAUGCUCCAGGGGUGAGGGUUUCUGCUAUAAAUAGUUGGCAACCUUUGAGACUUUCCAAGUGGGCGAGUGUGACAACGUUCUUAAACUCGACCAGAGCAGGGCUGACUCGGUGCCCCCCCCCCGCCGCCAUCACCUCCAACCCCGCCACCUCCUGCUCUGCCCUCCCACCUCGGCUCCUCCACUAAGGUGGCCAAGGCCCUCUUUCUGGAAUGUUCCAUCUCCAGGCAGCCAUCCCUAACUGCUCUAUCGGCAGGCACCGUGCACCAAAUGCACUUCACGUUUUACUUUCUCUGCUCAUCCACCUCCUCCCUCCAGACUGCAAGCUCCCUGGGGCAGGUGUGACAUGUUGCUCACUGCCAUUUCUGCAGCACCUGGACCCGGGCCAGCAUCGAGCAGAUGCUCAAUACAUCGGAUGAGUGCAGUAAAGAAUGAGUGAGUAAGUGAAUGAAUGAAUGAAUGAGGGCAGAGAGGACACGGGGAUAGGGCACUGCACUAACCCUGCACAGGGCAAGAGUUCUCUGCCCCGUCUCAGGGCAGGGCUGUGGGAAGACAGCGCCACACUUCACUAGCAACCGUCCAACCGUGGACUGCCUACAGACUGAGAAUCAGCUAGAACACCCCCUCUAUGUGGGCGGAGCAGGUCAGAGCCUACUAGGAAAGCACGUGGAAACCACUCCACAAAUGCAGCCUGUGCUGGGGCUCCCCUAGCACACUCCCUAACAUACCCUGAGGGGAAGCAGGGGGUACACUUUACACUUUGUGUUUAAGUACAGUGGAAACGGGGAACAAGCCAGAUCAGUGGGCGGGCGGAGGUGUUUGUCUUUUUCUAUACUUCACAAAAAUGCUUAAAAGUGCGUUGCGGAUGUGAGCAGGGAGUGGAAGACACAGACCACUAACCUCUCUUAGGAGUUCCUGAGUGGUGCAAAAGGUUAACACACUUGGCUGCUGACAGAAAGGUUGGAGGUUCAAGUCCACCCAGAGGUGCCUUGGUAGAAAGGCGUGGUGACCUACGUCUGAAGAAUCCGCCAUUGAAAACCUUAUGCAGCACAGUUCUACUAUGAUACACGUCUGGUUGCCUUGAGUUGGGGUCCACUCGGAGGCACUGGGGUUUUUUUUCAUGGUUUUCUUGAGGAAAAGCGCGCAUUCGAUUGCUGAGCUGCGACCUGAACUAUCCCCUUUUCUGCAGAAGGACAGAGUUGGGUAUCUACAGAAAUUUUCUCAAAACCAAACCAAGGGUGUUAAUUGAAAAAAACCGGUAGCAUUUGUUUUGUUGAUAAAAUUCAUGCCUUAAUCGUGGAAAACUCACAACGCCCACCAUGAGCUGAAAGUUACCCAAUACACGAAGACCCUUGUGAUAAGACCAAUGGUGGUGCUAAUGAAUGUGACGCUCUGAUGUUGCAUAAUGAAAUCUGUCAGUGUUUGCAAGAUCUGCGUAACGCAGUAAACCAGAAUUUUUCAAAUGGCUGAUGCAUGAUGCUACAGCAUCACGCGUGGGUAAAAAUCCAUUCAAACUACCACUGAGGGUGGUUUCACAUUCUACAUUGCAACUAGCUUUUCAGAAGCUAUUACUUGUUGAGUUUUGGUGUAUUAUCAAAGAAUAUCCAUCCUGGUCUGAAAUGGCUACUAAAAUAAUCCUCCCUUGCAACUGUGUAUCUGUGUGAGGUCAGAUUUGUUUUCUUAUACUGCAACCAAAACAACAUAUCCCAGCAGAGUGACUGCAGACGCCAAACAUUGAAGAGAUUUACGAACUGUCAGAUAGUGUCACUCUUCUCAUUAUGUUUUUAGUUUUAGAAAAACAUUUAUUUUUCAUAAAAAACAGUAUGUUCAUAUGAGUUUGUUAUUUCCAUUUUUAUAUUAAUGUUUAGUGCAGUAAAUGUUGAUAGGUAUAACCCAUAUAAACAAAAGCUCUUUGGGGCUCUCGAUAAAUUUAAGAACGUAAAGAGGUCCUAACACAAAAAUGCUCAAGAACAUGUUGUGGGCGUGGAUUGCCACCAAAGAGUGUCUUCUUCAAGCCCGGCCUCAGGUUUUUCCAGGAGUAAGGAUAAUACCAAGGAGUCCAGGUGGCACGACGGUUAAGUGCUCGAUUGCUAAUUGAAGGGUUGGUAGUUUGAACCCACAUAGAGGUUCCAUGGGAGAAAAGACCUAGCAAUCUGCUUCUGUAAAGGUUACAGCCAAGAAAACCCUAUGGGGCAGUUCUACUCUGUCACGUGGGGUCGCGAUGAGUCAGAAUCAGUUCCGUGGCACUCAGCAACAACAAGGUUAACAUCAGCAGACGUCAGUGUUACAGUAAGGACUAAUUAUCAAACCACUGCAGAGAUUCCUGAUCUCGUUUCCAGCAGAUUGGAACAGCGACAACACGGAUUAGCUGACAGAGCACUAAUUUUAUCUGACCCAACCGAGGCAACGAAGCUCUCUGACCACUGUCCUGGCGCUGAUUUGAGCAAACCAGACGAAAGCUUUAGGCAAUCAAAACCAGGAAACAAGAUGUACUCACCUCUGAUGGCUGGCUGUUAUGGAUUGUAUUGUGUUUCCUCAAAAUGUGUGUCAACUUGGCUGGGCCAUGAUUUCCGGUGUGUGUCUGUCCGCCAUCUUGUCAUCCGCUGUGAUCAUCCUACGUGUUGUAAAUCCUACCUCCAUGAUGCUAACGAGGCAGUUUGUUAAGGAGGCAGGACUCAAUCUACAGGAUUAGGUUGUAUCUGGAAUCAGUCUCUUUUAAAAUAUGAAAGAGAGAAGGAAGAAGAAAGGAGAAGGACCUCCAACCACCAAGAAAGAAGCACUGGGAGCAGAGUGCAUCCUUUGGACCCAGGGUCCCUAUGCUGAGAAACUCCUAAACCAGGGCAAGAUUGAUGACAAGGACCUUCCUCCAGAGCUGAGAGAGAGAGAAAGCCUCCCCCUGGAGCUAGCGCCCUAAAUGUGGACUUCUAGCCUCCCAGACUGCAAGAGAAUAAACUUCUGUUUGUUAAGGCCACCCACUUGUGGUAUUUGUCACAGCAGCACUAGAUGACUAAGUCAGAAUUCUAAGACACUGGCAUACUAUCGACGGAGAAAGGGAGAAGAAGGAAAAGGAAUACAGUCGUCCCUCGGAUUGGUUUCGGGACCCCCGCAGAUACCAAAGUCCGCGGAUGUGUACGUCCCUCAUGUAAAAUGGCAUAGUAUAUGCAGUCCUCCGCACAUAAAUCAUCUCUAGAUGACUUACAAUACCUGAUACAACGUAACUGCUAUGCAAAUGGCAGAACAAAGGGUGCCCACACCACCAGCAGCCAACGAACCAGAGCCAGGGAGACACCGAGGACCUGUGAGAUGUGGGGAAGCUACAGCAGGGCGUGUUACACACCACUGCAUUUGAGUACAUUCGGCGUAGUGCUCGGAGCACCGCGGAGUCAAGCGUGGCUUUUUAGAACUCUUGUUCCCCCUCCCGCCCUCGCCCAGAACUUUCGAUCCGCGGUUGGUUGGAUCUCAAGAUGUGGAAUCUGUGGGUACGGCGGGCCGACUGCACUGUACUGGACAGUCCACACACUCCAGGAAACUGCCAUGCAAACAAGGUGCAAAGACACACACAGAAACAGCAACAGAACAGAGUUAAUCAUUAGUGAAUGUGGAAGUACUCUAGGCCAGUUCCAAGUAACUGAAAUGAUCCACGAUAGGACUGAAAGUUUUUAAUUAACUUACAAAUGUCUUUGGAUUAACCCAGUUAUCAUCCUCCACAUAUAAACAAGCCUGCAAUGAGAGGAAGGUGGGUACCCGUGGUCCACAUAAGCAUGGCGCUUUAAUUUAGAAUCUUACAGUGUAGGGGCCGGUGCACAUUUCCUGGACUGUUUUUUUGGGAGGUUCGGCAAAAUCAUCCCGUGUCAGCUCCAAGUUCAUCCAGUUACUUCAACUUAAACGACUAUUUAUCAAGUGCUCAACUCAAAGUCGGCAAACAUCAUUCACUUCAAAAUACAUAAAAUUUCACCAGGGAAAAGAGCUGAGCAAACAGGUGCUCUGCCGCUUUGAGUGAGCAAACAGCUGUCUCUACCUGGCUGCUAAGCUGAGGAUUUAAGGGCCAAUAACCGCUCGUUUCCAGUCUCGGAAUCCUUAUCGUAUGACCCCAGAAAGAUCCAAAGGAAAUCAUCCUCUGAAGAUGCGGUGCCCUCGCCACUUCUGGAAAUACCACAGUUUGCUUUUUUCCCCCCUCUUUUUCCCCUUUGUUUAAGUUGAACUUCAAAACAAAACAACCUGUCACUGAAUUUAAGCCCCACCACUGCCAGGCUCUACGGAGUCCUGGUGGCUUAAAUGGUCAAGCACUUGCCGCUAACUGAAAGGGUGCCAGUCUGAACCACCAGCUGCUCUGUGGAAGAAAGACCUGGCAAUCUCCCCCCCCCCGCAAAGAUUACAGCCUAGGAAGCCCUGUGGGGCAGUUCACCUCUGCCGCGUGGGGUCCCUCUGAGUUGGAAAAGACUUGAGGGCACCUAACCACCACCGACAUGACCAUGUAAUGGGGCAACAGUGAUGCCCUUUGAUUUUACAGCCUAAGGGGUGAAGGUCAGUGUACAAACCAAGGUGGCACCAUAGAGCAGAGGGUGACUGGGCACCCCAAACAACAAUGGCAUGUCCACCUUCAACCUUGGUUCCAUGGCCCCUUCCCAGAUUGCAGCCCUUUUUAUCCUGAUGUAAAAGAGAAAAAAUGACAUAGGAACUCAGGAGCGGGCUUUUAAAAAACCCUUUCAUCCUGCAGCGUGACAGGCUCCUCUUUACAUACGGCCUUUCUGGCUCUGGGUUUGUAGUUCUGCCAAGAUGAUGUGCUAGGCCACAAUCUUGCAAAAGGACUGGUUAGUCUACUAUGCAAAUAAGGUAUAUAAAAUCCUUGCAGGGAUUGGACAGUUUAUUAUGCAAAUAAGAUCAUAAAACUCUUGUGGGGAUUGGUCAGUUACUUUGCAAAUUAAGCGACUAUGGUCUACCAAAGGGACUGGUCAGUUUUCCCAUCCUGCUAGGCUUGUAAAGGCUAGUCCCACUGAGGGGGACCUCACUACCAUCUAGAAGAAAAACCUGGAGCAGAGUGUGUCCUUUGGACCUGGGGUCCCUGUGCUGUGAACCCCCUAGACUUAGGGGAGAGAGAGCUGUAACACUGGAGACGGCGGGAACAGCAGCACAAGCAGCUGCAGUGUGAGACAGUGGGAACCAGGAGACCUGGGUAAGAUAGCUUGUGUGGUUCCUGACCCUUGGAGUGAGAGAACUGAGCACCCUGGGGCAGGAGGCUUCUUGGCGGGGUGGAGUGCCUCUGAGCACUUGCCUGCGGACAAAGAGCUGUACCACUUGCUUGAGCAGGGCAGAAGCUGGGCGGAGUAGGGAGGAGGGGGGCGGCGGCAGGGAGUGAGCAUAGCCCACGGGUGAGCACAGCCCACUGGUGAGUACAUCACUCAUUCUAUAACCCAGUCUGUCACCGGGCUUCAUAAAAGCAUAUGAGAGUGACAUCAGUUUGUAAGAGGAGCGGCUUAAGAAAAUUCAAAAAUUCCCCAAAAGUGUUAUGAGUUUUGUAGUAGUAACAACCCCCCCCAACCCCCGGAAAUACACCCAGAAAGUCACAGCCUAAAACAGGCUAGAAAUGCAGUGUUAAACUUUUAAAAAUAUUAAAAAAACAAAACUCAAGUCAGUACCAUUUAUUCAAGAUAGCAUUAAAAACACUGCUGAACUGAUUAUUGUUUUUUAAAAUAAACAUGGUCUUUGAACCGGUUCUUUCCAGUUCAGUCAUGGCCAAGGAAGCAAAACUGGAAUAGACCCGAAUUAUUAAAAAUUGAGUGAAACAGAACAGGAGAUAUUACAAAUUAAAGCCCUGCUGGAAACCUAAUCACCCUCUUAGAAAACAAGGGCAGCGUAAGCGUUGCAUAGCAACCAAAUCUCAGGCCCUUCAGGUUUUGAGCAAAGUGGGAAACAGCAGGUCCUGGCUCAAAGAUGGCGGCCCAGCACACCGCUCUGAAUGUGCGUCACUCUCCCCAGUUCUGCCAGUGAUCCAACCUCACACAUCAGGCUCCUGAAAGAGUCACUAUGUCGCCUCUGAGCCUACUUUCCAGGUUUUCGACCUGUAAUUUUCCCUGUUCUCAGCACCCAAAUUGUAAAAAUUCGGGUCUGUUCUGGUGUUGCUUUGUCUGCCAUGACUGAACCAGUUUGAAGUCCUGAAAGAAACACUGGAAAAGCCAACCCCACUGAGUUCCCAGUCAAUUUUUUUUAAUUGUGCUUUAGGCAAAAGUUUACAGUGCAAAUUAGCUUCUCAUUAAACAAUACACAGAUUGUAUUGUGACACUGGUUGCCAACACGGCAACGUGUCAACACUCUCCCCUUCUCCACCUCGAGUUCCCUGUUUCCAUUUGUCCGGGUUUCCUGUCCCUUCCUGCUUUCUCGUCUUUGCCUCAGUCAAUUUUUUCCCUUUGAUUCCUUAACAAAGUGUGCUCUAUCUCAAAGCGUCCUCUUUACAGGCCCUGCACCUGUGCACAAUUACAACAAAGCAAUGACAACCACUCUCCUCGUGUGGACGCUGCCCUGAGUUCACUGCCCUGUCCUGACCCGGCCUGUGGCUUUGGCAGCCGACAGGCUUAUCCCUGGAGUCACCCUAGAUCCUGGAGGUGGCUGCCCUGGUUCAAAUUGGGGACUCGGCCCUCACUGCUUUGUGACCUGAGCUGCUCUGUGCCCCAGUCUCCUCACUUCUAAAAUGAGGACAAGGACAGUACCCGCUGCCCAAGGUCAUUGUGACAAGCCAGUUAACCCAGACACAGCACCUACAGUGCGAGUCCCUGGGUGCUGCAAAUGGUCGACACACUGGACUGGCAGCCCAAAGGUUGGAAGUUCAAGCCCACCCAGAAGCGCUUCCGAAGAAAAGCCUGGCAAUCUACUUCUGAGAAAUCAGCCGCUGAAAACUCUGUGGAGGACGGCUCUGCUCUGACGCACGUGGGGUCACUCAGCUCGAUGGCGACUGGUCUGGAUGCAUCCGCAGUAAACAGGACGUCCACGCUGGCUGUUACGUUGCUCAAGUCAGGAGACCGUAUCUGUUUGGCACUCCCUGACUCCCAAGCAGUCUUCGCUUUGUAGCUGAAACCAUUUCCCGAGCCUCUGUCACCUGUGCAGCUUCUGAUCAUACACAAACCCACAAAGCACUGCCACUCACCACCUUCUGUGUGUUUGUAAAUCGGGCAAUUAUCCUGCCAACGGCACUGUCUUCUAAUUUUUAAGGCUAAAGGUAUUAAUUGGACAAGCACGAGCACUCAGAAGAUGCCGCUUUUAAAAUAAAAUGAACGACGAUGUAACAAUGUGGUUGGCAGCAGCAGUCAUUCCUAGGGCUUCAGGAUUCCGGUUCUGAUGGCCCAGAAGCAGCCAACAGGCACCUGCCACUACCUGCCCAGGCUUGCUUUCAUCUUCCAGAUCCCAAAUGGGCCUCGAGGCAGCCGGUCUCGUCCACACCAGCCGCAGCGGAAUUCUGCACACACACACCCCACAGCUUUCACGACACUAAAAAUCACCCUCUGAAGCGUGGCCGCCUCAUUAACACAGAGCCAGGGAAUCCCAAUGGAGUGAGGCUGCGAUAGUACCUACCCUACGACGAGGUUUUAGGGGCAGGAUAAAAGGGUACCGCAUCAGGUGAGUGACAGGAGCUGCCCUGAGCUACGACAUGUUAUUAGGGGAUAAAUACAGGUUUGAUGAAUUUUUACCACACAGCGUUUUUCUGAAACAACUGGACAAAUCCUACAUUUUGUUUCAAGCUCUGCGCGCUUUCCCACACAGUGAGAUUUCCCCUGUGCUCACGGAUCCCCUGGCUGGUGUCUGUUUUGAAUUAAAACGCACCACUGAGUUAGGCACUGAUGUGGCUGCUUUGUCUCUUCUGGGAUUUUGUUUAGAAAACAGUUUCGACAGAGUCCUUCCCAGCAGACAACCUGGACUGAAUUCUGAAUUCCAGCAAAGUCACUGAGAAGAACAGGGAUAUCUGUUCCCAUUCAAAGAAAGGUGUUUGAUGAAAAACACACGCCUGCAUCAUGCAUCUACGUGAACUUGGCUGGAAUCUCGGGGUGGGGGUGGGGGGAUGUCUGGCUCGAGUGUGCAAGUCUACAGAAAGGCGGUCCAGCCUCAGUGAGCGAGCGUCCUUGGAAGCUGAUGGAAAACCCCGUGGACUGACGGGCGUCCUGUCACGUAGGCAUGCUCAGGGGUCAGUUUGGGGGUGAUGUAGGGUUUGCACUGAGUGAUCCGCAAACUUGCCCGGACACCACCUGUAAGCAAGUCAUGCGUGGCUUCUCUGCCCCAGGAACCCCACAGCCUCCUCAGCCCCCAGCUGGCCUGCUCGUCCCAGUCAACACAUGUAAAAAUUAAGCUCUAAGCGUAAUUCUCAAAUUCCUGCAUGAACGGUACACACAUUCCUCACGGGAGCGGUGAGCCUCUCCACCCUCCGAGACACUUGCAUGCUGGGCGCCCGGCAGACUUCCCAUCUACUGACUCUUUUUACCUUCACGAUGAUACUUUGUUAUUUGGCUAUUAUAUAAUUAAUACAACCAAACAUGACCACCGACAGCAUAUAAUCACAAUGAAUAGUUACAAUCACUCAUUUGUUACAAGUGACUACAGAAAAGUCCUCUGACGACGUGACGAGACCACAGCCAGCAGCUCACUGGAGUGCUCUGCGGGUGGAACGCACCAGCCGCUCCGCAGGAGGACAUGGCUGUCUGCUUCCGUAAAGAUUACAGCCUUGGAAACCCUAUGGGACAGUUGUACUAUAUCCUAGAGGGUCGCUACAAGUUGGAAUCGAUUUGACAGCAACUGGUUAUAUAGGUGGUUUCAGGAGUCCCUCGUGGCGCAAACAGUUAAGUGGUCAAUUACUGGCUGAGAGAUUGGCAGUUCAAACCCACCCAGAGGCGUCUGGGAAGAAAGGCCUGGAGAUUGCUUCCGAACAGACACAGCCUUGAACACCCUAUGGAGCCAUACACAUGGGGUCGCUAUGAGUCGGAAUUGACAGAUGGUUUCUAGGUGAGAUAUGCACGUUGUGAAACUACCAGAGAAAGCAACAAAAAGCAAAGACAGAGUAAGCUACUGCAGCUGCUUCCCCACUUCAUUAAAUAAAGUCACCAUCCAUGUCUACUUAUAAGCAACGUGUAGCUCAGCAAAUGGUCCUCGAGGGCAGCCAUCCCCUCUGGUCAGCUACCAUGUUACAUGUUACAAUGCUGGGCCUGGUCACCCAACCAGGGCUAGAGACUCCUGGAGGGCAGGAACCAAACACAGGCCAAACUCUUCACGGCUGCCGGCCCACUGGGCCCACCGCGUCUGUGGUGACACCCACUUGGCAGGUCAGUGUUAGUCACGGCUGGGCCAGGCACUCUCCUGUCCUCAAUAUACGUGUCCACUCUGGAUCUCAUCCAUGCCUACAGCUUCAGCUUCCAGUCAUACCAGGAAACCCACUUAUAAGUGUCCAACUCUCUCCUCGCACAGCUCCAGACCCAUACAUUCCAACCACUCACGAGCCGUCUCUACUGGGAUGUUUCCAAGGCAUCGCGUGACAGCCACCCUGGAGGUUUCUGGCAAAAACAGAACAAAAAUCAACCCUCUAACUGGCCAAAUCUGUACAGCUAACUAAGAAUUCACAAGACAUGCCAGAACAGGAGAACACGUUAAGCAUCACCGCCGAGAUGAGCUCAGCAGCUUUGUCGGUGAAUUCUACGAGGAAAAAAAAGAAUAACCAUCAGGAAUCUACAGAUUAAGAGGCAGAGCAGCCAACUACAAUGUGUAAACUUUAUUUUGAUCCUGAUUCAAAACAAAAUUAUGGCAUUUGAGACCACUGGAAAUUUGAACAUGUUGGAUACAUGAUGAUAUUGAGAAAUUCUUGCUUUAUUUUAGGCCUGAUAAUGAUAUUGUGGUCAUGUUUUUAAAGACAGUGCUUAUCUUUUUAGAGAUAAAUUUAAAAUACUCACAAACAUAUAAAAAGACCAACAAACCUGCAGGAAAGCUGUGAGUGGAAACUAGCACUACCAGACGUUAAAACACUGCGACAAUAAUGAAAACAGGGUGGUACUGUGCAGGAGCAGACAAACUGUCCCGUAGAAAAGACCAGAAGCGCAGGAAUGGAUACGUGGAAAUUUAGUAUAUGAUAAAAGUGGCAGCUCAAAUCACCAGGGCAAAGGUGGGCUUUUUAAUAAAUGGUACAGGGAAAAUGGGCAGCCACUUAGGAAAACCACACCUCUCACCAAAUCCAAAAAUAGAUUCCAAAUGGAUUGGGGAUCUAAUUGUAAUAGAUGAAACCAUACAAGUACUAGAAAAAAACAUGAAGGAAUUCCUCUUUAACCCAGAGUAGGGAAAAGCUUUCUAACUAUGACUGAAAAGCCAGAGGCAAUAAAAGACUGAUAAAUUUGACUACAUAAAAAUAAAAAAAAAAUUUUUUUACAUGGCUAAACACACCAUAAACAAAGUCAAAGACAAGUGAAAGCUGGGAGAAAAUUUCUGCAACAGACACCACAGAUAAAGGCUAAAACCCCUAAUAUAUACGGGGCUCUUAAAAACUGAGGAAUAAAAAACGAAAGACCAGAUUUAAAAAAUGGAGAAAAACACAUAAACAGACAACGCACACACACACAAAUGCAUCUAAAACCAGCCGUUAGCCACAUGAACACCAUCCGACCGCACUCGUAACUGGAACAAUGCAGGUGGAGACAACACUGACAUGUUGUCAUCAUGUUCCCAUCAGGCUGGCGAAAAUUCUCAAGUAUGACGAGACUGCUGGCAAGGUGUGAGGGGGCAGGCCCACAGGUGGGAAUGCAAACUGGAGCGACCCAGGGAUUGGCAAAAAGCACACAUGCUCACCUUUGUCCCAGCCUUCCUGCCUACAGGAGUCUAGCCUGAAGAUGCAGCUCAACAAAUAUGAAAAUACAAAUGCACAGUGCUAUUUAUUGCUACAUUGUUUGUAACUGCAAAAUACUGGGGGGGGGGGGGCCUAAAUGCCCAUACAUGGGAGAGAGGCUGAAAAUACUACGAUAGACACGCACACAAUGGAGGGCCGGGUCACUACAGAAAGAGGAAAGCCAUCAGACAAAUUCCGAUAGAGGUGCAGCCUACAAAAUACCUGACCAGGGCUCCUCAAAACUGGCGGGGCAUCAAAACCAAGAAAAGGCUGGGCAACUGUCAGAGCCAGAGAAGCCUAAGGAGACGUGGCAACUAAGUGCAGCAUGGCAUCCUGGGUGGGGUCCUGGGACAGAAAAAGGGCAUUGGGUUUAAAAAAAAAAACUACAGAAAUCUGAAAGAACUAUGGACUUUAGUGAAUAACAAUGUAGCAAUAUUUGCUCAUUAACUGUAAUCACAGACAAAGGGCUGGAAUUCCCGGAGUGUGAAGAUAUACCAUACUACAAUAACACCUGUGAAAGCCAGAACCUGGGGGAGCCGGAAACCUGUCAGAGAGGAAAAAUCCAAAUAUUUUCCACUAAAACAAGUGACAGAAAAGUGGUGACUGCACCCUGUCAAAGGUGAAAAACCUGCAAGACCCAGAAAAACAAAGGCCAAGUUCCAGCUCUCACAGGUUGCACCGUCUAAGGUAGGAUGUUAAUGAUGAGAAACUACUAUGGGGUGAGGGGGAUGUAUGAACUCAAUUUUUAAAAUCUAAACCUGCUCUAAAAAAAUGAAGUUGACUUAAAAAAUGAGGAAAAAUCACUUGGAACUGAUAUGGGGUGAUUUUCAGGAAAUGCUAUUAAGUGAAAAAAGCAAAGCACAAAAGAAUAUAGUAGACUGCCUUCCCUUCCUCAAAGAAAGAGGAAGAUACAAGAAAAGUAUACAAGCAUCUGCUCAGCUGUGCAAAAGACAUACAGAAAAAAUGGACUAAAAGCUAAUGAUAUUGGCUCCUAUGGGAUGGAGGUGGGGUAAGGUGGGGUGGGGGCAGGUGAGGGGAGAGAAAGGAGGUGAGAUCCGGGUAGGAGGGAUGAGAGGAGCUAGCCUUCCCAAAGUAGACUUUUCUUACAUAGCUCCGAAUCUUAGAACCAUGGCAAUGUCUCACGUAAAUAAUUAAAAAGCUAAAUAAUUAAAAUCAACCAGGACUGGGGGAGGGGACCCAAAGCGGAAUACAAACAGUAAGAGACCAAACGGUAAGAGACGAACCCACCAGUGCCGGCUUCUCAAUGAGGAACACAGCCACACGGAAGGGAUGGAAGACAAAAGGAAUAAGGAAGAACUCUGGAAAGUGGGUGCUCGCUCUGUACACUCUCAGGCUCCAGACAGGAACCAAGGAAGCCUGUUCUAGUUAGUAAGCUUGCUUCUCGCAGGGCUAGCAAUUCUGAAAGCACGGUAUGUGUAUACUGGGCUUGACAAAGACAUAAAUAUACUGUGGCUAAUGAGAGCCCACUUGCUCGCUAUCUGAUAAGGAAGUUUUGAGCAAGGAUAGGGGAAGGCCAGAAUAAACCCUGUCGUGUUGGAUUUGAAUCAGAAGUAUUGGUAUGAACUCACAGUUUUUGAUACACACACAAAAGGGCAGACAACCCGCAAGGCAAAUAUGCAAACUGAAGGCAUUGGAGCAUUUUGGGUUUUUGGUACCCUGAAUUUCUCAGAAUCAUCUUGAAUAUAGCCUGUCUGUAAAAGAAAGCCCACCCCCACUGCUCCUCGCUUCCCCGUUUCCAACAGUGACGCCCGUUUCCCGGUGGACUCCUUCACCAGUCCCCAGAUCCAAACCCUGCGUGCUGGCUGCACCAGCUCCUCCACCCUGUCUGCUCUGCUUGCCUGCCUAGAACAGGUCACCAGAAACGGCACCACCUCCCACAUACAGGAUGCAGCAGUCUCUGAUGAAGGCUCCAGCCCCACCCCCAGCAACGUGUCCAGCCUGUUACCCAGCCGCUAAAACCCCUGUGGUUUUGCUAAAACCCCUGUGGUUUUACGGAAGGAGCAAGCCCCUGGCUCACCCCCAGCAUCACCUCCAGCCCUCCUAGCUCUCCAAGAGGCAGCCAGCCUGGACCAGCUCCCUUCCUCCAAACAAGAUUCUUUCUUCCUUCACAUCAUCCACUGACAUUCCUUCUGCCUUCAAAAUAGGCCCCAAACCAACCAGUCGGCAAGAGAAUGUUUUUACUUAUAAGUACAGAAUCAGAAAACGCAGCACCUCUGCAAACCCUACUGAAUUCAGGGACCAGCAGCUGCAGCAAGACAGCCAGCCAGAGGUGCCUUCUGGUAGAGGACCAUACCCUCACCUGUGAGGUAUUUUUGAAAGAAAAAAAAAGCAGCACCUGAACCAGAUCAAGCCUCAAGCUCUGUCUACUAAUUUUCAGGAAACACAAAGGAUAGAGGAACAUGGUAAAUGACACCAGGAAGAUGCCAUCCGCAGACUCCAGGCUGUGGGGAGCUUGACAGGAUAAGCAGUCUAGGUUUUCCACCAUGUAACAGCAAGGGGUGGAGGAGGGGAGGAGAAAGCCACAGACUACAAGAGACUUAAGGCUGUGGUUGUUCGGGGCUGAGGGUGUCAAGGAGCAGCUAAGGGUCCUGGGUUUCUUUUGCCGGGCCCGGGGCGGGGGGAGGGGACAGAAAUGUCCAAAAUUAGAUUGUGGUAGUGGUUGCACAACCCUGUGAAUCUGCUAAAAAAAACACUGACUUACACAUUUUAAAUGAAUGAAUUGCAUAGUAGGUGAAUUAUACCUCAAGAAAACUUAUUUCUAAAAGAGAUUUAAUGCUGAUUGUACAUGACUAACGUAAUUGAUAUCACUAAAUUGUGUUGUUGUGUGCCAAGCUGAUUUCAACUCAGUGACCCCUAAACUGUACAAUGAAAAAUGUAAACACACACACGUGUGCAUAUAUAUACACAUUUUUUCUUUUUUAAGGGACAGACACAUCAACUAGUCACAAUGUGGACCUUACUUGGAUCUUGACUCAAGAGGGAUCCUUUUAUAAACACAGGUGGCUGAUAUUCCCUCCUCCACUCAACCCCCUCCUUUGCAUGGCCCACAAGGCGGUCAUGGCAUCCCUGUCCUCAUGCCUUUGUUCUUCCAAAUAUGCCCUAGACUCCCCCCUUCUCCUCUUCAAGUCCUUGCUCCAAUUCCACCUUCUUCAGGUGCCUUCACCAUCCACCCCGUUCAGCAGGGCAACAUGCCUUCCUCCCAGCCCUGUCCUCUGCCCCUGACCUGGUCUACAUGACCUUUACUCACGGAUCCCGCAUGUUUGAUAACUAAUUUAUUUGUGUACGUCUUGUUUUGAUUGCCCGUCUCCCCUCCGGUUCACUGCCUCAGUGCCCUCCACACAGGAGUAGCCCAACAGCUGUGCUUUGGCCAGUCCUCUUCCCCAGUCACGCCAGUGACAUCACACCCUGCGCAAUGCAAAGGGGGCUUCCUUCCUCAGCUAUCCCAGUUAUCUCAGCCAGGAGUGACCCGGCUCCAGGAACAAGCAGCAUUCCCCGCCUGCUGUCUGCUGAACUGUCCCUGUUCCUCCUCUCAACUGCAAGAGCCUGGAACGGUCACCCUGAGAUGCUCCGUAACUUUCCACAAGAGUGCCCUACACUCGGGGAGUCGCUGCGGUCAGGCUGACCAGCCAGCCACCCAGGAGCCCAGAUGCUGGGGUUCUCGCAUUCCCAAUUCCACCCUCCCUGGAUGGACUGUGGCUCGUUCAUUUGAGUGUUCACUGUCUGGCCGAUGAGUGAAACAAAUGUCAGCCUCACCCUCUUGCGGGGGCAACCAGAAGAAUGGGGGCAAGGCACUAGAGAACAGGUCUCAACACCCCCACUCCUGCCAACAGGCCCUCGUCCACUUCCCAGUUUCCAGCCUGGUGAGGAGUCCCCAAGAAUAUGGACCCCCAUGGGCUACUGACUGUCCAUCGCCCCCCGAAAGCUUUCAACGCCUAUAACACAACGUUCUCUGGUGCGGAGUAAACAACAGCGGCGGUGACAAUAAUCCCAGCAGCUGCAGAAAUGGUCAUCCCUCGGCACCUUCUGUGGGCAACCACGAUGGUAAGAAGUCUUUACUGCCUCGUCUGUCAACACACCUCUGCCAUGAGGUUUAUCCGUCUCUGGACUAUGGAAGAGACGGAGGUACAGAGGUUAUGUGAAAGAGGGACAUAGCCAGGACUCAGCAUGGUCGGCUGGACCUGGAGCCUGAGCUCUGAGCAUGGUGGUGGGGGGGGUGGAGGGUAGGCUGCGCUGUCACCUGGGACCCCCAUAUCCCAAGAGCUCCAUGCACCUUGACACCAACCCAAGGAUUUGUUCAAGGUCAUCCUUCCCACCACUCCCUGUGCCUUCCUCUGCUUUCUCCCCACUUCCCAGUGUCUGACUCUAUUCAUUCCUUUGUUCCUAAAAAAAAAAAAAAGGUAACCAAAAAAAAACACAACAGCACGACCUGCUAGUUCCAAGGCCCCGAAAUCACCACCUCUGGUGCCGAGGGAUCUCAUUCACACUCGCUGCUCACUUGCCCCACAUGGACAGACCACGCCCCAAUGGCAACGGUGUGAAGGCACCCUGAAAACUCGAGAGCCCCGCGAACCCAAGGCGCUGGUCGUUUUUGAGACUCAGGCCCCAAGCCACUUCCCAUCCACACAAGCUCCCUGUCACCUUCAGGUCCUGCUCAUAAGCCUGGUUGAGGCCAGGCUGUCCCAGGGGUUGACCAGCCACUUCCCACUCCUGGAGGCCUCCCACCACCUAAAACCAAGAGGGAAGGCAGUAAAGCCCCCAGAUCUGAGCCCUUACACCCAUAGCCUCAGCAAAUGCACUGCAUCCAAGCUUCCCCACCACACAAGUUUAACUACCCUGUGAAGACAGACUCCCAACGGUCACAUUAUUUUUAUAAGUAAAACCUAGCGAACUGUCUCAAAUGACUGACCUAUGAACCGUAUCGUUCUGACCUAUGAACCGUAUCGUUCUGACCUUCUUAUGUGCAACCGGGGAACAUCUAGUUGCCCUGCAAACACUAACUCUCCGAGAACUGGAACUUGGAGCGGAAACACCGGAAAUAACUGGGAAAACUACAAAAAUAUCACCCCUUGAGCCCUCACUCCUGUAGGACUCCCAAGAGGCGGGCUUCGACAACAGGGAAGGGGAGCCACUUAGGGACAGCCCGGCUCUUUGUAAGCUUUGCUAUAGUUUUGUUUCUUAGUUGCUAUUGGGUCUGAAAGAUGGAUACAGAAUAAUUUCCAGGGGAACUUACUGAAGCCGCUUCUGCCCCGGCUCUAAAUGAAGCCAGAAACAAAGCAACAUGAAACUAUCAACUGAAAGGAAACAAGGACGGUGAAGGGAAGAGUCGUGGUCCUCACAUAACCAGAUCUGUACCCUUUAUCAGAAAAGAGAACCACAGAUAAAUCUCUUCACAGUCCAUGCAAGGAGCCCUGGUGGCGCAACGGUUAAGUGCUUGACUGCUAACUGAAAGGUCAGUAGUUCGAACCCACCAGGCACUCCACGGGCACAAUACCUGGCCAUCUUGCUCCUGUAAAGAUUACAGCCUAGGGAGCCCUGUGGGCCAGUCCUACUCUGUUCUGUAGGGUCACUAUGAGUCAGAAUCGACUUGACAGCACACAACAAUAACAACCACCACAUAGUCUGUGGCAAAGUCCUCUCUGCUGGGACACCUGACACUCCCACCUCCUAGACACUUGUUCCUGGGGGUGGGGGACCUCCGUUCACCAGGGGCUUGCUUCAGGUUUCUGCCAGGACCUCCUCCCAUGCUCCCAUCCCUCAAACAGUGCUCCCUGGGGGUGGCCCCGGCCCAUUUCCUACCUCCUCUCCCCGCCCCCGCUCCCAACUCUCAGACCCACCUCACAGAGCUCCACCUGGGACAUCUGCAACUUCCCAGACCCAGAUCUCAUGGCCCGCCCGCUGCCCCAGGCCUUCCAGGAGGAGCUUGUGAGCAGCUGCAGGGAGGAAGGCCUGAGCCUUGCUCCCCUAGGUUCAUCCACCCCCGUCUCUGCGCCCACUCAUGAGCCCCAGCUGUAUGCAGGCCCUGACCCUACAUCCCACUGGCCCCAAAGCCCUGGUCCUCCCACCACGCCACCAGGCCUUUCUGACCCCCAUUGCUGACCCUACCUCAGCCUAGAGUUCAGUCUGAACUCAACCGCUGGCAUCUCCAGAUACCCCAAACUCACAUGCCCCAACACCAUCUGUGCACCCCUCCCCAGGGCCAGCUCUGCCAUCUCUGCCCCUCAGCCCUAUUAACCGUGUGACCAGUGGCUGAGGUUCAGGGACACCUUCAGUCUCCUCCUCCUCCAGUGUCCUACCUAUUUCCUUACUCAAAGAUUCACCCAACAAGACGCGGAGACAAGGACACUCAUUCUCCCAGCCAGCGUUCAUGGUCUCUCCUCGCGCUGGAUGCUUCGCCAAGGGUUUCAUUCACGCUUUACGCAGCCUUACGCACUGAGGUAGGUAGGAUGCAACCAAUGAACAGAUCCACGCCCACCUCCAGGUGAGGAGUGUCCCAGGCCCAGACAGAUAGUUACCUCACUACCCUUCACAACAAGCCUCGGGAGGGAGGUGCUAUUAUCACUCCUUCUCCAAGUCUGAGCUUUAGAGAAGCCAGGUAACUCACCAAAAGGCACAGAGCUGAUAAGAAGUGGUCUGGGGCCCAGAUACCUAGGUGUCGCCUGCUAGUAAGUAGAACCUACUUAGUAAAUACAGAAGACUAGACUCACUCCUCCAGCUAACCAACCACCUCCUCCUGUACCCACGUACCAGAGGGCAUUGGGACGCUGAGACGAAGGUUCAGUGGGGUCCUGUCUGUCUCUGCUCCCACAACCAUCCACCCGGUGGAGGGGGGGCAGAGGGAGUCCCUGGUCCUGAUGUCCGCUACAAUUUCUCCACCCCACACUGCUGCCGAGGGCCUCUCUCUCCCUGCAGGGCUACGGGGUCACCUUUCCAGAACAGAGCUUAUCUGUAGAGCGCAAAGCGCUUAGCAAUGCACGUGGGCUCUUUCUCAGAAGUACCCACACCUUUCCUGCCUGCACUCGGACCUCUGGGGUUCACGGAGGCUUCCCCAUUGCCCAUUACGAAACGGACAGUGUAGGGGCUGGUGGACAUCCUUCCCAUCCACGGCCCUGGGGUGACCCUGAGGAACGUGAGAAGAUAAAAAGACCAGCUUCAAGUUUGUUUGUUUUUAAUUGUUUUUUAUUGCACUUUAGAUGAAGGUUUACAGAGCAAACUAGUUUCUCAUUAAACAAUUAAUACACAUAUUAUUUUGUAACACUGGUUGCCAACUCCACAACAUGUCAACACUCCCCUCUUCUCAACCUUGGGUUCCCCAUUACCAGCUUUCCUGUCUGUCCCUUCCUGCCUUCUCGUCUUUGCCCCUGGGCUGGUGUGCCCCUUUAGUCUCGUUUUGUUUCACAAACCUGUCUAAUCUUUGGCUGAAGGGUGAUCCUCAGGAGUGACUUCAGUACUGAGUUAACAGGGUGUCCAGGGGCCAUACUCUCGGGUUUUCUCCAGUCUCUGUCAGACCAGUAAGUCUAGUCUUUUUUUGUGCGUGUGAGUUAGAAUUUUGUUCUACAUUUUUCUCCAGCUCUGUCCAGGACCCUCUAUUAUGAUCCCUGUCAGAGCAGUCAGUGGUGGUAGCUGGGCACCAUCUCAUUGUACUGGACUCAGUUUGGUGGAGGCCAUGGUAGAUGUGGUCCAUUAGUCCUUUGGACUAGUCUUUCCCUUACAUUUUCAGUUUCCUUCAUUCUUCCUUGCUCCUGAAGAGGUGAGACCAGUGGAGCGUCCUAGAUGGCCACUCACAAGCUUUUAAGACCCCAGACGCUACUCACCAAAGUAGAAUGCAGAACAUAUUCUUUAUAAACUAUGUUAUGCCAAUUGAGC